ACUCCACAUACGCAUCCUUUGCUGAGGAUACGGUUAACGGAGCGAAAGCGACGUUCAACCUCAAAAGAAGCAGAGGGGGCUUAGUGGUGGGGUGACUGCGUACCUUUUGUAUAAUGGGUCAGCGACUUAUAUUCUGUAGCAAGGUUAACCGUAUAGGGGAGCCGCAGGGAAACCGAGUCUUAACCGGGCGUUAAGUUGCAGGGUAUAGACCCGAAACCCGGUGAUCUAGCCAUGGGCAGGUUGAAGGUUGGGUAACACUAACUGGAGGACCGAACCGACUAAUGUUGAAAAAUUAGCGGAUGACCUGUGGCUGGGGGUGAAAGGCCAAUCAAACCGGGAGAUAGCUGGUUCUCCCCGAAAGCUAUUUAGGUAGCGCCUCGUGAACUCAUCUCCGGGGGUAGAGCACUGUUUCGGCUAGGGGGCCAUCCCGGCUUACCAACCCGAUGCAAACUGCGAAUACCGGAGAAUGUUAUCACGGGAGACACACGGCGGGUGCUAACGUCCGUCGUGAAGAGGGAAACAACCCAGACCGCCAGCUAAGGUCCCAAAGUCAUGGUUAAGUGGGAAACGAUGUGGGAAGGCCCAGACAGCCAGGAUGUUGGCUUAGAAGCAGCCAUCAUUUAAAGAAAGCGUAAUAGCUCACUGGUCGAGUCGGCCUGCGCGGAAGAUGUAACGGGGCUAAACCAUGCACCGAAGCUGCGGCAGCGACACUAUGUGUUGUUGGGUAGGGGAGCGUUCUGUAAGCCUGUGAAGGUGGCCUGUGAGGGUUGCUGGAGGUAUCAGAAGUGCGAAUGCUGACAUAAGUAACGAUAAAGCGGGUGAAAAGCCCGCUCGCCGGAAGACCAAGGGUUCCUGUCCAACGUUAAUCGGGGCAGGGUGAGUCGACCCCUAAGGCGAGGCCGAAAGGCGUAGUCGAUGGGAAACGGGUUAAUAUUCCCGUACUUGGUGUUACUGCGAAGGGGGGACGGAGAAGGCUAUGUUGGCCGGGCGACGGUUGUCCCGGUUUAAGCGUGUAGGUGUGUGUUCCAGGUAAAUCCGGUUCACUUUAACACUGAGGCGUGAUGACGAGGCACUACGGUGCUGAAGCAACAAAUGCCCUGCUUCCAGGAAAAGCCUCUAAGCAUCAGGUAACAUCAAAUCGUACCCCAAACCGACACAGGUGGUCAGGUAGAGAAUACCAAGGCGCUUGAGAGAACUCGGGUGAAGGAACUAGGCAAAAUGGUGCCGUAACUUCGGGAGAAGGCACGCUGACAUGUAGGUGAAGUGAUUUACUCAUGGAGCUGAAGUCAGUCGAAGAUACCAGCUGGCUGCAACUGUUUAUUAAAAACACAGCACUGUGCAAACACGAAAGUGGACGUAUACGGUGUGACGCCUGCCCGGUGCCGGAAGGUUAAUUGAUGGGGUCAGCGCAAGCGAAGCUCCUGAUCGAAGCCCCGGUAAACGGCGGCCGUAACUAUAACGGUCCUAAGGUAGCGAAAUUCCUUGUCGGGUAAGUUCCGACCUGCACGAAUGGCGUAAUGAUGGCCAGGCUGUCUCCACCCGAGACUCAGUGAAAUUGAACUCGCUGUGAAGAUGCAGUGUACCCGCGGCAAGACGGAAAGACCCCGUGAACCUUUACUAUAGCUUGACACUGAACAUUGAGCCUUGAUGUGUAGGAUAGGUGGGAGGCUUUGAAGUGUGGACGCCAGUCUGCAUGGAGCCGACCUUGAAAUACCACCCUUUAAUGUUUGAUGUUCUAACGUGGACCCGUAAUCCGGGUUGCGGACAGUGUCUGGUGGGUAGUUUGACUGGGGCGGUCUCCUCCUAAAGAGUAACGGAGGAGCACGAAGGUUGGCUAAUCCUGGUCGGACAUCAGGAGGUUAGUGCAAUGGCAUAAGCCAGCUUGACUGCGAGCGUGACGGCGCGAGCAGGUGCGAAAGCAGGUCAUAGUGAUCCGGUGGUUCUGAAUGGAAGGGCCAUCGCUCAACGGAUAAAAGGUACUCCGGGGAUAACAGGCUGAUACCGCCCAAGAGUUCAUAUCGACGGCGGUGUUUGGCACCUCGAUGUCGGCUCAUCACAUCCUGGGGCUGAAGUAGGUCCCAAGGGUAUGGCUGUUCGCCAUUUAAAGUGGUACGCGAGCUGGGUUUAGAACGUCGUGAGACAGUUCGGUCCCUAUCUGCCGUGGGCGCUGGAGAACUGAGGGGGGCUGCUCCUAGUACGAGAGGACCGGAGUGGACGCAUCACUGGUGUUCGGGUUGUCAUGCCAAUGGCACUGCCCGGUAGCUAAAUGCGGAAGAGAUAAGUGCUGAAAGCAUCUAAGCACGAAACUUGCCCCGA
This 2316-nucleotide ribosomal RNA is filed under the name Salmonella enterica subsp. enterica serovar Poona. RNAcentral describes it as "partial 23S ribosomal RNA". It matches the Rfam family "Bacterial large subunit ribosomal RNA". Lineage: Bacteria; Pseudomonadati; Pseudomonadota; Gammaproteobacteria; Enterobacterales; Enterobacteriaceae. The record is from RNAcentral.